Molecule: long non-coding RNA, 823 nt
Filed under: Papio anubis (olive baboon)
Lineage: Eukaryota; Metazoa; Chordata; Mammalia; Primates; Cercopithecidae
Description: lncRNA (ENSPANG00000047740.1)
Source: RNAcentral
CUGUAUGUCUGUUCUGAAUUCGAAUCUGUGACUCAAGCAGGUUCGAAACUGCUGGCAAUAGUCCUGGGCGGACGCCAGCUUAUAGGACAGCCAAUGGAGACCGGUGGGAGACGUCCCCUGGCUCUCUUCUGAUUUAAAUUGCGAUCUGAGUUGCCGGAGCGCGUUUGCAAUCCGGGCAACAGCUGACUCUGACCCCGGUUCCCAGGCGCGCGCGUGCGGUCUGAGUUGCCCCGGUUCCCGGGCGCGCGCGUGCGGUCUGAGUUGCCCCGGUUCCCGGGCGCGCGCGUGCGGUCUGAGUUGCCCCGGUUCCCGGGCGCGCCCGCUUGCGGCCCCAGUCCCCAGGCUCCCGGCUUCCGGCGCCGCGCUUGCGGCCCCGGUCCCCGGACUCCCGCCUUCCGGCGCCGCGCUUGCGGCUCCGGUCCCCGGGCUCCCGGCUUCCGGCGCGGUUCCUGGGCGCGCACGCUUGCGGCCCCGGUCCCCGGGCUCCCGGCUUCCGGCGCCGCGCUUGCAGCCCCGGUCCCCAGGCUCCUGGCUUCCGGCGCGGAUUUCCUUUACAGGGAUUGUAACCCACAUUCCUUUACAGGAAGAGACACAGAAAGAAAUAGGACCCCCAGAUGACACAGGAAUCCCCAAGCUCCAGUACUGGCCAUUCUCCACCAGUGAUCUGUAUAACUAGAAGACUCAGAGUGCUCGGUUUUCAGACAACCCCAAAGAUUUACUGGCUUUACUGGAUAGUGUCAUGUUCACCCACCAGCCCACUUGAGAUGAUUGUCAGCAGCUCCUCCGAAUCUUGUUUACCAUGGAAGAGCGAGAGAGAAUACAG